UGUCUUCACCUUCGGCAUUUUCUUUUUAUCAGACAUCAAAACAGAAACAUCAGUUUCUCUCAUAAUAACAUCCUCAAAGCCAAGUCAUAUACAAACCAGUUUUGGACAUUCCAAUGACUCAUCAAUGUAAAUAAUCUAAUUUGUGUUGUCAAUUAGCUAAUCUUUUAGCACUUGUUCUGCAUACAAUAUUUUCCACGUUUCAUUUCCUUGUCACAAAUCCUAUGCCAAGUAUAAUCCACCACAUAAUUUAUCUUUUUUAGGAAAAAUCCUAUGCCAAGUAUAAUCCUACGCCAACUUCUCAAAAUUGUCUAUUAAGCUCAUAUUCUCUAAUUGUGUGUCAUUCAGAAUGUUAUUUUAAAUCUUUUGUAAACAAAUUUCCCUUUUUAUUUUUUUCUCCAUCCAUGCUAAUAAAUAAGUCUCCAAUGUCCUUAAAUUGGAGAAUCUUUGGUUCAAUAGCAUACAAUUGCAGAAUAGGCGAUGAAUAAACAAAAUUUGAAAAGUUCAGGUCUUGGAAAUGGAUUUUGCCUUCUUUUACUUUUAAAUUUGUUAACACGCAAUGGUAGAGGGAAAGACUCACAAAUCACAUAUUUGGGCAAAUCGAAAACCAACAAUAAGUAUUAUAUACCUAAAGUGUUUUCAAAGACAUACAAACAAGCUCAAUUGAAUGCGAUGCUGAAGCCAUUAAGCUAAGCUGCUGUUCUGAAACAAUUGGCAGGAAUCACCAAAUUGCAGGCCACAACUUUUUAUUUAUAAUAACAAAAGUAGAAAAUGAUCAAGCAAAUGGGAAAUUUCAUAUUUUAGGAUUUUCAUCUUCAGUUCUUAAUUAGUAUAAAUAUAUUCAACUUCUAAAGGAAAACGUGCCCUAAACUUUCAUAGACAAAAUGACUACCCAAAUUAACCAUAGAAAUUGCAAUCCUCUAAUAAAAUUCAAGGAACCUGAACGAAGAUUAAUAUAUAUAUAUAUAUAUUGAUCAUACCUUCAAAUUUAAAUGAGAGCGAAG
RNAcentral lists this unclassified non-coding RNA (1001 nucleotides) under Hevea brasiliensis (rubber tree). The record is from RNAcentral. Lineage: Eukaryota; Viridiplantae; Streptophyta; Magnoliopsida; Malpighiales; Euphorbiaceae.